GGUAGAAUUGCAAAUUCUAGUUAUAUAGAAAACGUAUGGGACCAAAUCAUAAUGAAGUAUAUAUCUACUGCUUAUACUGUGGGGCAGUCCCAUCAGCUAGAGAGUCACUCAUCUAAUGAAUAAAUGAAAUGGAGCUCUAAUGUAUGUCUGAUGCUAUUCUGGGCUCUGGGAAAACAAUGAGCAAGACAGGUAUUCUCCACUUCCAAGGAGUUUAUGUUGAGACAAAAUGUAAGUGCUGUGAAGAAAAAACAUGAUGUAAGGGCGUAAAGUAGGAAGUCAAGAAACACCUGGAGUAACAGGCAAAUUUGGCCUUGGAAUACAGAAUGAAGCAGGGCAAAAGAGUUUUGCCAAGAAAUGCACUGGUCAUAACAAACACCCUCUUCCAACAACACAAGCGAAGACUCUACACAUGGACAUUACCAGAUGGUCAACACCGAAAUCAGAUUGAUUAUAUUCUUUGCAGCCAAAGAUGGAGAAGCUCUAUACAGUCAGCAAAAACAAGACCAGGAGCUGACUGUGGCUCAGACCAUGAACUCCUAAUUGCCAAAUUCAGACUGAAAUUGAAGAAAGUAGGGAAAACCACUAGACCAUUCAGGUAUGACCUAAAUCAAUUAGACAGUGAAAGUGAGAAAUAGAUUUAAGGGCCUAGAUCUGAUAGACAGAGUGCCUGAUGAACUAUGGGAUGAGGUUUGUGACAUUGUACAGGAAACAGGGAUCAAGACCAUUCCCAUGGAAAAGAAAUGCCAAAAGGCAAAAUGGCUGUCUGGGGAGGCCUUACAAAUAGCUGUGAAAAGAAGAGAAGUGAAAAGCAAAGGAGAAAAGGAAAGAUGUAAACAUCUGAACGCAGAGUUCCAAAGAAUAGCAAGAAGAGAUAAGAAAGCCUUCUUCAGCGAUCAAUGCAAAGAAAUAGAGGAAAACAACAGAAUGGGAAAGACUAGGGAUCUCUUCAAGAAAAUAAGAGAUACCAAAGGAACAUUUCAUGCAAAGAUGAGCUCGAUAAAGGACAGAAAUGGUAUGGACCUAACAGAAGCAGAAGAUAUCAAGAAGAGGUGGCAAGAAUACACAGAAGAAC
Molecule: long non-coding RNA, 1072 nt
Organism: Bos taurus (domestic cattle)
Lineage: Eukaryota; Metazoa; Chordata; Mammalia; Artiodactyla; Bovidae
Source: Ensembl